This 387-nucleotide unclassified non-coding RNA is filed under the name soil metagenome. Its description in RNAcentral is "partial contains 5.8S ribosomal RNA, internal transcribed spacer 2, and large subunit ribosomal RNA". The stretch from base 1 to 120 matches the Rfam family "5.8S ribosomal RNA", at positions 35 to 154 of the family's 154-position model. The record is from RNAcentral.
GAUGAAGAACGUAGCGAAAUGCGAUAAGUAAUGUGAAUUGCAGAAUUCAGUGAAUCAUCGAAUCUUUGAACGCACCUUGCACCCUUUGGCAUUCCGAAGGGUAUGCUCGUUUGAGUGUCAUUUUACUCUCACACUCUCCGAUCCUAUGGAUUCGGGGAGCGGUGGACUUGGGUGUUGCUGCCUUUCCUUGUGGCUCACCUCAAAUGUGUCAGUGCACCUCUUGGUUGGACAUAGUACGGCGUGAUAAGUGUCUUCGCCGGCACCUCGCAAGAGGGUGGCCGAUCGGGAGCUCUGUGCUUUCAAACCGUCUUCGGACAAUUUCUGACAACUUGACCUCAAAUCGAGUAGGACUACCCGCUGAACUUAAGCAUAUCAAUAAGCGGAGGA